Small nuclear RNA from Ursus americanus (American black bear), 186 nucleotides. Its record names the gene U2. It matches the Rfam family "U2 spliceosomal RNA". Rfam says of the family: U2 is a small nuclear RNA (snRNA) component of the spliceosome (involved in pre-mRNA splicing). Complementary binding between U2 snRNA (in an area lying towards the 5' end but 3' to hairpin I) and the branchpoint sequence (BPS) of the intron results the bulging out of an unpaired adenosine, on the BPS, which initiates a nucleophilic attack at the intronic 5' splice site, thus starting the first of two transesterification reactions that mediate splicing. NCBI's taxonomy places the organism in Eukaryota, Metazoa, Chordata, Mammalia, Carnivora, Ursidae. The record is from Ensembl.
UUUGCUUCUUGGCCUUUUGGCUAAAUCAAAUGUAGUGUCUGUUCUUAUAAGCUUAAUAUCUGAUAUGUCCUCUGAGGAUAAUAUGUAAGUGGGUUUUUGGAGCAGGGAGGUGGAAUAGUAGCUUGCUCCAUCCAUUUCCAUCCAUUGACCUGGUAUUGCAGUACUUCCAGGAAUCGUGUACCUCUA